This 253-nucleotide ribosomal RNA is filed under the name uncultured bacterium. RNAcentral describes it as "partial 16S ribosomal RNA". It matches the Rfam family "Bacterial small subunit ribosomal RNA", at positions 524 to 776 of the family's 1533-position model. The record is from RNAcentral.
UACGGGGGGUGCGAGCGUUGUCCGGAAUCACUGGGCGUAAAGGGCGCGUAGGUGGUUUGAUAAGGGUGUGGUGAAAGUCCGGGGCUCAACCCCGGAUCUGCCGUGCCGACUGUCAAACUCGAGGGCUGUAGAGGCAGACGGAAUUCCGGGUGUAGCGGUGGAAUGCGUAGAGAUCCGGAGGAAGACCGGUGGCGAAGGCGGUCUGCUGGGCAGUUUCCGACACUGAUGCGCGACAGCGUGGGGAGCAAACAGG